RNAcentral lists this ribosomal RNA (826 nucleotides) under Fritziana fissilis (split-backed frog). Its description in RNAcentral is "partial 16S ribosomal RNA". It matches the Rfam family "Bacterial large subunit ribosomal RNA", at positions 1495 to 2569 of the family's 2925-position model. Lineage: Eukaryota; Metazoa; Chordata; Amphibia; Anura; Hemiphractidae. The record is from RNAcentral.
AAUCCCCAAAUUCUUAUUCAACCCUUUUAUAGUAAUGAGUAAUUCUAUACCCCCUAUAGAAAUUUUCAUGUUAAAACUAGUAACAAGAAGAUGACCCUUCUCUUAAAUGCAGACAUAAACCAGAAAGGACACACCACUGGUAAUUAACACCCAUGAGCUGCUAAUAGCAACGUCAUGAAAAACCCCUAUUUAUCUAUAUGUUAACCUAACACAAGAGCAUUAAAAGAAAGAUUAAAAGGAAAAGAAGGAACUCGGCAAACAGCAACCUCGCCUGUUUACCAAAAACAUCGCCUCUCGAACAAAUAUGAGAGGUCCAGCCUGCCCAGUGACUCUGUUCAACGGCCGCGGUAUCCUAACCGUGCGAAGGUAGCGUAAUCACUUGUUCUUUAAAUGGGGACUAGUAUGAACGGCACCACGAAGGUUACACUGUCUCCUUUUCCCAAUCAGUGAAACUGAUCUCCCCGUGAAGAAGCGGGGAUAAAUAUAUAAGACGAGAAGACCCUAUGGAGCUUUAAACGAAGCGACAACCGCCGCCCCCUUCAAAUCUCAGAAAACUUAUUGUUAAACCCGGCGACAUGGUUGCUAGUUUUAGGUUGGGGUGACCACGGAGAAUAAAACAACCUCCGUGUUGAAAGGGGCCUCCCCUAAGCAAAAAUCCACAACUUUAUGCAUCAAUAAAUUGACAUCAAUUGACCCAAUAUUUUGACCAACGAACCAAGUUACCCUAGGGAUAACAGCGCAAUCCAUUUUGAAAGCCCCUAUCGACAAAUGGGUUUACGACCUCGAUGUUGGAUCAGGGUAUCCCAGUGGCGCAGCAGCUACUAAA